UUCGGAGGAUGCAAGCGUUAUCCGGAAUGAUUGGGCGUAAAGCGUCCGCAGGUGGCUAUGUAAGUCUGCUGUUAAAGAGUCUGGCUCAACCAGAUAAAGGCAGUGGAAACUACAUGGCUAGAGUGCGUUCGGGGCAGAGGGAAUUCCUGGUGUAGCGGUGAAAUGCGUAGAGAUCAGGAAGAACACCGGUGGCGAAAGCGUUCUGCUAGACCUGUACUGACACUGAGGGACGAAAGCUAGGGGAGCGAAUGGG
This 253-nucleotide ribosomal RNA is filed under the name uncultured bacterium. Its description in RNAcentral is "partial 16S ribosomal RNA". It matches the Rfam family "Bacterial small subunit ribosomal RNA", at positions 524 to 776 of the family's 1533-position model. The record is from RNAcentral.